UGCAGUCGAGCGGUAAGGCCUCUUCGGGGGUACACGAGCGGCGAACGGGUGAGUAACACGUGAGCAAUCUGCCCUUCACUCGCGGAUAACUACCGGAAACGGUGGCUAAUACGUGAUGCGACCGCUUCCUGCAUGGGAUGGUGGUGGAAAGUUUUGGCGGUGGGGGAUGAGCUCGCGGCCUAUCAGCUUGUUGGUGAGGUAAUGGCUUACCAAGGCUUCGACGGGUAGCCGGCCUGAGAGGGUGACCGGCCACACUGGGACUGAGACACGGCCCAGACUCCUACGGGAGGCAGCAGUGGGGAAUAUUGGACAAUGGGCGAAAGCCUGAUCCAGCAACGCCGCGUGAGGGAUGACGGCCUUCGGGUUGUAAACCUCUUUCAGUACCGACGAAGCGCAAGUGACGGUAGGUACAGAAGAAGCACCGGCCAACUACGUGCCAGCAGCCGCGGUAAUACGUAGGGUGCGAGCGUUGUCCGGAAUUAUUGGGCGUAAAGGGCUCGUAGGCGGUUUGUCACGUCGGGAGUGAAAACUCGGGGCUUAACUCCGAGCCUGCUUCCGAUACGGGCUGACUAGAGGUAUGCAGGGGAGAACGGAAUUCCUGGUGUAGCGGUGAAAUGCGCAGAUAUCAGGAGGAACACCGGUGGCGAAGGCGGUUCUCUGGGCAUUACCUGACGCUGAGGAGCGAAAGUGUGGGGAGCGAACAGGAUUAGAUACCCUGGUAGU
RNAcentral lists this ribosomal RNA (723 nucleotides) under Nocardioides sp. I35. RNAcentral's name for it is "bacterial SSU rRNA". It matches the Rfam family "Bacterial small subunit ribosomal RNA", at positions 56 to 794 of the family's 1533-position model. The record is from RNAcentral. Lineage: Bacteria; Bacillati; Actinomycetota; Actinomycetes; Propionibacteriales; Nocardioidaceae.